AUUUUACCCAGUUUGUUGUUUGCUUUUCAAUUUUAUUUAUGGAGUUUUAAAGCACCAGGUUUCUGACAUACAGAAUUUUAUACUCUUAAAGACCCAAGUGUUGUGAAAUAGCAAAACAUUAGAGAGAAACAGAUGAUACUCUGAGUGUCCAGAAAGGAAAAAAAAAAAAACAGAUCACAUGCAAGAAAUCAUAAUAAAAAUGACUCUAGACUUCUCAACAACAUUUGAAGGAAGAAGACAAUGGAGCAAUGUCUUUAAUGUGUUGAAGAGAAAUGCCUUCCAACCUACAAUAGUAUAACCAGCCAAACUAUCAAUCAAGGAUUGCUUUGGCUAUUCAGAAACCCCAUUUUAAAGCUUUAAAUGGAUUAAUUCUGGCCUUACACACUGCAUUGAGGUUAGUAAUUAACUAUUACUGCAUAGCAAAUUACCCAAAAUUUAGUGGCUUGAAACGAUGAACAUUGAUCAUUUUACAGUUCCUAUGGGUGGCCAGACAGAGCCACAAAUUUUUUUGACUGAGCCUUGGAAGUCACAUGCCAUCACUUCUGCCAUAUUCAUAGACCAACCCUGAAACAAUAUGUAAGGGGAUUACACAAAGUUGGGACUAUCAGGAGGUGAACAUCACUGGGAGGCCAUCUUGGAGGCUGGAUUUCCCACACACAUACAGGAGUAACUAUUCUGCAGAGAUACCUUUAACAGUGGAACUAAACACAUAUGAAAAAUAAAAGGGGGCCGGCCCAGUCGUGCAGUGGUUAAGGUCACAUGCUCCGCGUUGGCUGCCCUGGGGUUCGCUGGUUCAGAUCCCGGGUGUGGACAUAUGCACCGCUCAUCAAGCCAUGCUGUAGCAGGUGUCCCACAUAUAAAAUAGAGGAAGAUGGGCACGGAUGUUAGCUCAGGACUAAUAUUCCUCAAAAAUAAAAACAACAGUGAAACUGCUUCUAAAGGCAGAGUAUUUUGCCUUAUACAUAAAAACCCUCAACAAUUUACUGAAUGAAUAAAGAUUCACUCCUACAACCUAAAGAGAAAACAAUUAAGCAAAUUAAUUUAUUACUUUUUUUGUCUGAGCUUGGACACUGAUUGAUUUUCUUCCACAGUCUGGCCAUCUGUGUCUUUUAGAGAUGGUGUUCAGCAGAAGUGAGGAAGAUGGUGAUACAACUGAGCACCAAGACGAUGGUGAUACAGUUGAUCACUAACAGGUUUCCAUGCUGAGGGAAGACAGAAGGAGGAUAUGGCAGGAUGUCUCCAAAGCACCUAGUAGCUUGGGUCUUGGGGUAUAGUAAUCAAGGAAAAAAGGUCUUUGGAGGAUAUCAAAGACAUCACAGUCAAGAGAUAAUGCCUGAAAAUGUACAACAAGCAGCAUACCAUUUCCUCCUUAUAAAUGUUUUUCUAAUUGUGAUAUUUGUAUGUUCAGGAUAUCUUCAAGAUUUCAGCAGAAACAUCCCAUUUUUCCUCUCUACAACCCCAGUCCUCAUUUGCAGGAAGCUGAGAGUGCCCAUGCCAAAUCUCAGACCAGUGGAGAUAACAUUUAUUGUAAAGAGCAUCUCAAGCUAAAUCCAGUCAGCCUGGAGAGGCACCAGAAAUAGAAUGAUCAGCUUCCCAAAAGCCUCCAUCUUGGGAAUGAUGCUGAUAGUUCUCAUGCAUCCACAGAUAGUGCUUAAUAAAUAUAUUUAGAUGAAUAAAUAAGAGAAUGCAUGAAAGCAUCCACAUGUAAAUUGAAUAGAAGUUUUAAAAAUAUUUGGUGGGAGACUGAGUCAACCAAAGAAACGUAAUAUGGAAUUAUUCAGUGUAUCAGCAUAAUGCCAUUCCAUUCAGACCCAAGCUUCCUGCUGCUAUGCCCUCACUCUGUGAUGGAGAUGGAUAUCUUGGGAAUAAGCUCCAAGUUCCCCCAGAAAGCUGAAGAGGCUGGCACAAUUAUCCUUCUAUGGAACUCUAGCCCCGAAACAAUGAAGUUUGUUAAUGAAUGUCUACUGACUAGGGUAUGGUGUCUCCUAAAUGAUUUAGUAUCUAUCAAUUCCAGUAGCAAUAAAUAAUUGCUAAACAUCUUAAAGAGAGCGCUGUCUUGCUUGUCUCAUCCUCUGCUAGCACAUAGCAGACCCUCAGCAAACAUUUCUGGAAUGAAUUCAUGUUUUGCCAGCUGUGUUACCUCCUCUGCCAGUACAAGCUCCAUGGCCAGUUAACCAGAAUAUAAACUGGACUAUAAAUCUCUUAAAAGAGGUAUAUUUUUGCUUAUGUGAAAAGGAGGCAAAAUCAUGAAUCAAACUAGAGGGUAUAUUUGACAAGAAACUGAUUUAAGAAGAAUUGAAUUAGCUAGACAAGCCAAGCUGCAAUAGUGAAUGCAGUUUAUUGCCAAAGAUAUUACCAAGUUAGGACAGAGAAGAUGUGGUUCAACCAGUCACAGGAGCUUUGAAGUAAACCAUUUCAACCUGGCGCCAGGUGAAAUUGUGAAACUGGCUUGGUCUGACUGUGUGGCCCCUAGGCCUCCCUCUCUCCUUUAUUCCUUUUCCUAGGCUAAAAAUUCCAUCAUGUUUUCUCCACUCUCUCUCUAACUUUUUUAUGUUACAAGGGAAAUCUGAUGGUGGUAGGUUGUAAUUAUCUCCAAAGCUACCCGUAUUUCAUGUAUUGCAAUGGCCUCGGCAAAUUUCCCUGCUGUAGACAGUGAGUGCACCACCACUGAGUUGGAAUAAAAUCCAGCAUUUUUCCUAGAAGGAAGGGCUGAGAUUUCUGCCUUUAUUUCCUACUUUUUUCCAGAUGUGCUUGUUGAAAGCCCAGCUUCCUCCUCAAGUAGUGUAGUCAGACAGAACUUGACAUAGAUUGGUUAGGGGAGGCGGUGCGGGGAAGUUGAAGAUGUUUAGCAAUUACAAAAGAGCCCUCGAAUUCAGGGAUUAUUCGAUAUGUAAUCAACAGUCCCAAAACAACAUCUACUUAGACAAGAAGAGAAUGCAAUGCAAACUCAACUGAAUAUUUCUUUGGGCAAUUUAUUUAGAAUCUUUUGUCCUUGCAUGACUCAACCUGACUUUUUAAAACUGUGAGUCACCGUGAUGCUCAUUCUGACCAAUACUUUAAUGCUUCAUUGCUUGGGGGGAAAUGAGUAUUGCAUUUUGAAUCCAGCACCUUAUAUCUAGUGUAUCUUGUCUUAACUAUUGAGAGGGAUUAUUGAAGGCUUAGUAAAUUACUCUGUUACAGCAUGAUACAAGAUAGCCUCUUAAUAUUGUGUGUCUAGUUCUGACAUCUGGAACUGCUGCAGCCAUCUUGUGACCACGAGAAGAGCAGUAAAAGAAAUUUUUGCUGAACUUUGAAUGUAUGCAUUCAAACUUACUUACUGCAUGACCUUGAGCCUGUAAUAUAGCAAGGCGUCAGAACAAACGCUUCCCCAGAAGAAGGAUCUAGAGUAACUGCUUUUCGAAAACUUAGAGUCAGUAGAAAAGCUGCCUAAUGGUAAAUUUGUGACUGAACUAUCUAGACUCUACAAACUGACUUGGGGCAUAGCAAUCAGCUGUGCCAAGCUCCACUAUUACCAAGCAGUUUCGAACUGGCAAUCCAAGGGGUUGUUUAAACCAAGGAAUCAUUUUUCCUUGUGAAAAUUUGUGGCUUCUGCCUUUAUAGGUCCCACCCUUGUCUUUGAUCAGAGACAGUCUUCGGAAGGCUGCACUCUCUUAUAUACCUAGAAACAGGUAAAUCCCCAAGGCUUUAUACUAAAUUUGUCUCCAAAGUAUUCUUUGCAGUUUAACACUUACUCUGCCUCAGAAUCUUUAUGUUUGUUUUGUCUAGAGGUCAAAACUGAUACACCAAAGAUGGCAAAGCAGAAAGGCAGAAAGAAACUGGUUCCUUGGUGACACCUUUGUUUUACUAACUGUGGAGCCCUCCUACCUCUGGACUUUGUUAUAUGAUAUAAUAAACUUCCUUUUUUGCCUAAGCCACGUGGAGAUGGGCUUUCUGUUUACUUGUCCAAAAAAUAAAAUUGAUACACCUUCUCUCGUUGCUCUUUCAAAAAUAGUGCCCCUACCCCCAUCAAACACUGCUCUCUUAUCCUCCUUAUUAUAUAUUUAUUUGUUUGUUUACUUGUUCAUUGUCAAUGUCUCCCACUAAAAUGUAAGCUCCACAACACAGGGAACUUGGUCUGUUCAGAAGCCCAGUGUCCAGAAAGUGCUAGCGUAUUACAGAUGCCCAAUAAUAUUUG
Molecule: long non-coding RNA, 4174 nt
Organism: Equus caballus (horse)
Lineage: Eukaryota; Metazoa; Chordata; Mammalia; Perissodactyla; Equidae
Source: Ensembl